ACUCCCAUAAGCUGGCUACCUUAUCCAUUCGUGCUGCUUGGAUCUGGGUAGAUUCAUGAUCUAUGUCGGUGCUGCCCGAGCUAUGCUUGUACUAGAAGCCUGUAGCUGCGUUUGCGUGCCUAGCUGAUACCACGAUGGGAUCUGUUAAAAACAUUACUUGUGGGCUUGCUGUUGCUUGCAUUUCUCCUCUACAGGUUUCUAGUAACUUAGAUCGCUGAUGCGUCUUGUCCAACUGUGAAUGCUCACUCUUUGGAACCUUGAAAAAGGAUGAUUCUAUGAUUGUAGCUGUUGCAAACUCAGGGCAUGCACUUUCAGUAGGGAAAUGCAGGGUGAGUCUUACUAAUUAGGGAUGUUUGGUAGCUGUCACUACUGAGCCUAAUUUGACAUAUCGUGGAUUUUGAAUGAUGGCUAACAUGACCUCCACCGCAGGCAGUUAUGGGCUUAUGGCAUUCUAUCAAGGGUUUUUUGGAUACAUACCAUUACAAUUCUGCAAGUUUGGAGAAUUGCCACUACAAUUCAGUCAGACCCACCGCCUCUGAUUGAAGGAAGGACGAAGGAGGCGUGGGAGGCGUGGAGCAGAGAAGAACGCGGGGAAGAGGAGGACACAGAGCCGCGCAAGGAGAAGCCCCAGGAGGAGGACGCCGUCAAGCACCAGAAGGGGAACGUCGCCAUCAAGCCCGCACCGAACAACACCGCCGAGGAGGCACCACCCUGAGCGGGUGCCGCUGCACCGAGGCCGCCGUCGCGCCGAGAGAGGAAAGAGCCGCGGUGACCAGGAAGCAGAGGAGGAGGACGCGCCGAGGGAGCACCACCACGCCGGCGCCUGAACAUCUACAACGACGAACCUGUGCUGCGCUGCACGGCCACGCCCUCACCCGCGUCACCUCGCACGGCACCAAGCACUGCUCGUGUUCGGCCAGGCGACCAAAGCUGCUCGCGUGCGCGCUCCCCGCGCUCGGCCGGCCUGGCGGUGGCUUGCGCGUGUGGCCGCCAUGGCGCCGCCACUCGACUGCUGCACGCGCCCCCCAGGCCGACGGUCUCCGCGUGGCCCCAUGGCACAGUCGCUCGACUGCUCCCUACCCACAACCUAUCGCCGGACCAUUGUAAUGGCGAUGGGAUUGGACGGAUGGGACCGGAGCUCUUAACGCCAUAGACGAACUGGCGUCUAUACGCCCUCUGCAUACGCAUCCGCGUCUGACAAUGGGCCCAAAGCGGCUGGUAUACGUAGAAAAUGGCAAGAUUCAGGAAGUCCAAUAAUUGUAAUGGCAUGUUUCAGAAUACCUGAAUUGUAAUGGCAAUUCUCCAAACUUGCAGAAUUGUAAUGGUCUAUAUCCAAAAAACCCUUCUAUCAAAUAUAGCAGAAAUGACAACUUCAAUUAGCAAUAUAAA
This is a long non-coding RNA of Panicum virgatum (switchgrass), 1389 nucleotides long. RefSeq lists it as uncharacterized. NCBI's taxonomy places the organism in Eukaryota, Viridiplantae, Streptophyta, Magnoliopsida, Poales, Poaceae. The record is from RefSeq and is a predicted model, not a curated record. The transcript has 2 exons.